This 300-nucleotide unclassified non-coding RNA is filed under the name uncultured fungus. RNAcentral describes it as "sequence contains 5.8S rRNA gene, ITS2". The stretch from base 1 to 71 matches the Rfam family "5.8S ribosomal RNA", at positions 84 to 154 of the family's 154-position model. The record is from RNAcentral. Lineage: Eukaryota; Fungi.
GUGAGUCAUCGAAUCUUUGAACGCACAUUGCGCCUUUUGGUAUUCCGAGAGGCACGUCUGUUUGAGCGUCAGCAAAACCCUCCGGUCCCCGGUUUAUUUCGGGGGCACGGGCGUGCUGGCGCGGGGACUGACCGCUGGCGCUUCGGUGCCGGUAGGUCUUCCCCCGCUUAAAGGUGUGGAAGCUUGCGGGGUGUGCCCCGGAUCGCGACGACUCGUAAGCACUUACUGUCGAAUGCAUCCGCGGAAGCCCCCGCCUUGUAACCUUGGUCAAUUCAUUUUGGCCUUGAACCCUUGACCUCA